This 497-nucleotide ribosomal RNA is filed under the name uncultured bacterium. RNAcentral's name for it is "partial 16S ribosomal RNA". It matches the Rfam family "Bacterial small subunit ribosomal RNA", at positions 28 to 507 of the family's 1533-position model. The record is from RNAcentral.
GAUGAACGCUGGCGGCGUGCCUAAUACAUGCAAGUCGAGCGAACGGACGAGAAGCUUGCUUCUCUGAUGUUAGCGGCGGACGGGUGAGUAACACGUGGAUAACCUACCUAUAAGUCUGGGAUAACUUCGGGAAACCGGCGCUAAUACCGGAUAAUAUUUUGCACCGCAUGGUUCAAAAGUGAAAGACGGUCUUGCUGUCACUUAUAGAUGGAUCCGCGCUGCAUUGGCUAGUUGGUAAGGUAACGGCUUACCAAGGCAACGAUGCAUAGCCGACCUGAGAGGGGGGUCGGCCACACUGGAACGGAGACACGGUCCAGACUCCUGCGGGAGGGAGCAGUAGGGUAUGGUACGCAAUGGGCGGAAACCUGACGGAGCAACGCCGAGUGAGAGAUGAAGGUCUUCGGAUCGGAAAACUCUGUUAUGAGGUAAGAACAGAUGUGUAAGUAACUGUGCACAGCGUGACGGUACCUAAUCAGAAAGCCACGGCUAACUACGUG